RNAcentral lists this ribosomal RNA (497 nucleotides) under uncultured bacterium. RNAcentral describes it as "partial 16S ribosomal RNA". It matches the Rfam family "Bacterial small subunit ribosomal RNA", at positions 28 to 507 of the family's 1533-position model. The record is from RNAcentral.
GAUGAACGCUGGCGGCGUGCCUAAUACAUGCAAGUCGAGCGAACAGACGAGGAGCUUGCUCCUCUGACGUUAGCGGCGGAAGGGUGAGUAACACGUGGAUAACCUCCCUAUAAGACUGGGAUAAAUUCGGGAAACCGGAGCUAAUACCGGAUAAUAUAUUGAACCGCAUGGUUCAAUAGUGAAAGACGGUUUUGCUGUCACUUAUAGAUGGAUCCGCGCCGCAUUAGCUAGUUGGUAAGGUAACGGCUUACCAAGGCAACGAUGCGUAGCCGACCUGAGAGGGUGAUCGGCCACACUGGAACUGAGACACGGUCCAGACUCCUACGGGAGGCAGCAGUAGGGAAUCUUCCGCAAAGGGCGAAAGCCUGACGGAGCAACGCCGCGUGAGUGAUGAAGGUCUUCGGAUCGUAAAACUCUGUUAUUAGGGAAGAACAAAUGUUUAAGUAACUAUGCACGUCUUGACGGUACCUAAACAGAAAGCCACGGCUAACUACGUG